UACGUAGGGUGCGAGCGUUGUCCGGAAUUAUUGGGCGUAAAGGGCUCGUAGGCGGUUUGUCGCGUCGGGAGUGAAAUCAUCUGGCUUAACUGGGUGCUUGCUUUCGAUACGGGCAGACUAGAGGUAUGCAGGGGAGAACGGAAUUCCUGGUGUAGCGGUGAAAUGCGCAGAUAUCAGGAGGAACACCGGUGGCGAAGGCGGGUCUCUGGGCCGAUACUGACGCUGAGGAGCGAAAGCGUGGGGAGCGAACAGG
RNAcentral lists this ribosomal RNA (253 nucleotides) under uncultured bacterium. RNAcentral's name for it is "partial 16S ribosomal RNA". It matches the Rfam family "Bacterial small subunit ribosomal RNA", at positions 524 to 776 of the family's 1533-position model. The record is from RNAcentral.